RNAcentral lists this ribosomal RNA (519 nucleotides) under Triticum aestivum (bread wheat). RNAcentral's name for it is "partial small subunit ribosomal RNA". The record is from RNAcentral. Lineage: Eukaryota; Viridiplantae; Streptophyta; Magnoliopsida; Poales; Poaceae.
AUGACGGGCUAUCUUGAUGACUCGAUCAAGGAGCCCGCCGCUGUCAUCAUCACCGAGAAGGACAACGCUGGGAAGAAGGAGAUCACCGAGGCGCCCAACCCAGAACACGCGAUCUGGGUCACUCAAGAUCAGCAGGUGCUUACCUUCUUGCUCGCCUCUCUAUCCCGCGAGGUUUUGAUGCAGGUGUCCAACCACACCACCGCCGCGGGAGUCUGGAAAGCCCUGGUGGAAAGCUUUUCUGCCCAGUCCCAGGCGCGCCAGAUACAGCUCCGUUCUGCGAUCGGGAACGCACGCAAGGGCGACCUCUCCACCGCCGCCUACUUCACCAAGAUGAAGGGGCUCGCCGACGAGCUCGCUGCUGCAGGAAAACCGCUUGAUGAAGACGACAUCGUUUCACACAUCGUGGAGGGUCUCAUGCAUGAGCCCGACUACAGCGGCUUCGUCACCGCCAUCUCCACGCGCCAUCACCGAUCAACCGAUCGGCCUCAGCGAGCUCUUUUCACUACUGCUCGCCGCUGA